Molecule: ribosomal RNA, 253 nt
Filed under: uncultured bacterium
Lineage: Bacteria
Description: partial 16S ribosomal RNA
Rfam family: Bacterial small subunit ribosomal RNA
Source: RNAcentral
GACGAAGGGGGCUAGCGUUGUUCGGAAUUACUGGGCGUAAAGCGCGCGUAGGCGGUCUUUCAAGUCAGGAGUGAAAGCCCCGGGCUCAACCCGGGAAUAGCUCUUGAUACUGUUGGACUUGAGUCCGGGAGAGGAUAGUGGAAUUCCCAGUGUAGAGGUGAAAUGCGUAGAUAUCUGGAGGAACACCGGUGGCGAAGGCGACAUCCUGGACCAACACUGACGCUGAGGAGCGAAAGCCAGGGGAGCAAACGGG